GAUGAACGCUGGCGGCGUGCCUAAUACAUGCAAGUCGAGCGAACAGAUGAGGAGCUUGCUCCUCUGAUGUUAGCGGCGGACGGGUGAGUAACACGUGGAUAACCUACCUAUAAGACUGGGAUAACUUCGGGAAACCGGAGCUAAUACCGGAUAAUAUAUUGAACCGCAUGGUUCAAUAGUGAAAGACGGUCUUGCUGUCACUUAUAGAUGGAUCCGCGCCGCAUUAGCUAGUUGGUAAGGUAACGGCUUACCAAGGCAACGAUGCGUAGCCGACCUGAGAGGGUGAUCGGCCACACUGGAACUGAGACACGGUCCAGACUCCUACGGGAGGCAGCAGUAGGGAAUCUUCCGCAAUGGGCGAAAGCCUGACGGAGCAACGCCGCGUGAGUGAUGAAGGUCUUCGGAUCGUAAAACUCUGUUAUUAGGGAAGAACAAAUGUGUAAGUAACUAUGCACAUCUUGACGGUACCUAAUCAGAAAGCCACGGCUAACUACGUG
Molecule: ribosomal RNA, 497 nt
Filed under: uncultured bacterium
Lineage: Bacteria
Description: partial 16S ribosomal RNA
Rfam family: Bacterial small subunit ribosomal RNA
Source: RNAcentral